CCCUAGUACGGCGAGUGAGCGGGAAGAGCUCAAAUUUGAAAUCUGGUAGCCUUCGGUUGCCCGAGUUGUAAUCUAGAGAAGUGUUUUCCGUGCCGGCCCAUGUACAAGUCCCUUGGAACAGGGCGUCAUAGAGGGUGAGAAUCCCGUCCUUGACAUGGACCCCCGGUGCUUUGUGAUACACUUUCAACGAGUCGAGUUGUUUGGGAAUGCAGCUCAAAAUGGGUGGUGAAUUCCAUCUAAAGCUAAAUAUUGGCGAGAGACCGAUAGCGAACAAGUACCGUGAGGGAAAGAUGAAAAGCACUUUGGAAAGAGAGUUAAACAGUACGUGAAAUUGUUGAAAGGGAAACGAUUGAAGUCAGUCAUGCUCUUAGGAUUCAGCCGUUCUGCGGUGUAUUUCCUUUGAGUGGGGUCAACAUCAGUUUUGAUCGAUGGAUAAAGGCACGAGGAAGGUAGCACUCUCGGGUGAACUUAUAGCCUCGCGUCAUAUACAUUGAUUGGGACUGAGGAACGCAGCAUGCCUUUAUGGCCGGGAUUCGUCCACGUACAUGCUUAGGAUGUUGACAUAAUGGCUUUAAACGACCCGUCUUAACCACGGACCCA
Molecule: ribosomal RNA, 600 nt
Filed under: Naganishia adeliensis
Lineage: Eukaryota; Fungi; Basidiomycota; Tremellomycetes; Filobasidiales; Filobasidiaceae
Description: eukaryotic LSU rRNA
Rfam family: Eukaryotic large subunit ribosomal RNA
Source: RNAcentral